Molecule: long non-coding RNA, 1634 nt
Filed under: Prunus dulcis (almond)
Lineage: Eukaryota; Viridiplantae; Streptophyta; Magnoliopsida; Rosales; Rosaceae
Description: sRNA ncRNA
Source: RNAcentral
CCGAUCACAUGUUUACAAAUAUAGUACCGGAGAGACUGCCAGCUCUCAUAUCAAUAUCAUCAUCAAGGAUCUUCAAGUCCUGAUGUAAAUGUAUGAUGAGGAUCAAGGAACUUCUGGUCCUGAUCUGUAUUCUGUAAAAACUCAUCAUACAACACAAUUAAUCCAUAAAAUAAAUUUACCGUUUAAAUAAAUUACUUGUAUGGACGUUAAUCCCGCACCAUACUUUAAAUGUGCGGUAAAGUAAAUUCAUAAAUUAAAUUGCUGUAUGGACGUUAAUCCCGCACCAUACUGUAAAUGUGCGGUAAAGUAAACGUGCUUGUAUGGGCACUAAUUCUGCUCCAUAUAAAGUAAAUGUGCUUGUAUGGGCACUAAUUCUGCUCCAUACAUUUAAAUAACAGUAAAGGCGUGGACGAUAAACCCGCACCACCCUUUAAAGUAAAUUUAUGAUAAAGUAAAUGUGCUUGUAUGAGCACUAAUUCUGCUCAAUACAUUUAAAUAACAGUAAAGGCGUGGACGAUAAACCCGCACCACCCUUUAAAGUAAAUUUAUGAUAAAGUAAAUGUGCUUGUAUGGGUAAGAAACCUACACCAUACAGUAAAUAAAAUAAUUGCGGAAUGAAUAAAGUAAAGACAAUUAUUUGUGGGUUCAUAUCAACACCACAAUCAAAUAGUAUGAUAUUAUUAUACUGAUAUAUCAAAUUAUUUUAUAAAGUAGAAGUCAUAUUUACCCCGACCGAAGUGCACGUUAAGAUUCCAAAACUAAGAGACUUAGUGGGCGGCUGUCAAUCAGUGAGACCAAGUGGGUGGCUUUCGUUUCGUUUAUCCGACAGACAUGCCAGCCAAAUUUUUUUUUUUUUUUCCGGCCCACUUUCUAGUUGCAAGUCCAUGCUAUUAUUGUUGUUGUUUUGGGAUGAACACUGAUCAUCAUCAUUAUCAUCACAGAGGAGGCCAAAGUGGUUGUCUUCUUCAGCCUCACAGCCUCUGUUAGCCAUGAACCCAAUAUUGGACCACCGUGCCUCCAUCUUGUGGUUGCUGCUGGAGACUUUUGAUGAGACCAUAGCCAUGGCAUCCAUCAGCUCCUCCUCUGUGGCUUCCCCAUACCCACAUGAAGUUUUGCUGCCAACAUGCAUGUUAUGAGCAUGUUAUGUAGUGAGCAGUUUCCUCCAGCAAGCUGCACAAAUCCAUGGGCUUGGCCCCCGGAACAGGAACCGAUCCCUGUGGGGCGGACUGGUUGGUGGGCUUUUUGUCCUCCUCCUGAUUUGUGACGCCUUGCUGUUUGAUGAUUUAUCAUCCAAGUCAAGCCAUGAAUCUUCUUCUUGUUCAGUCAUGUUUAUGAAUUCCCAUUCAUCGCUAAUAACCUCUGCCCGAGUAGAUGGGAAAGCAAAAGGACAUCAAAUGAAAGUUUCAUCAAACAGACAAACUUUCUUACAACGUCAGACUCAGAAGUGGUGGUUUUGGGUGUGCCUUAGUUUCUCUGUUUCUUGCUCUGUUAUGUUUGGUUUCUCUUUGUGAAAGAAACAGAGGAAGAAGCAGGGAACUGAGUCUGGGUUUCAGAGAAUUCAGCUUGUAUAUUUGAGAGCGAAUUCGUGCUGAUAACGUGUUAUAAAACAAAGAGAAAUUUGAGAGGAAACUGAG